RNAcentral lists this transfer RNA (74 nucleotides) under Fidelibacterota bacterium. Its description in RNAcentral is "Candidatus Marinimicrobia bacterium tRNA-Thr". It matches the Rfam family "tRNA". Rfam says of the family: Transfer RNA (tRNA) molecules are approximately 80 nucleotides in length. Their secondary structure includes four short double-helical elements and three loops (D, anti-codon, and T loops). The record is from RNAcentral. Lineage: Bacteria; Pseudomonadati; Fidelibacterota.
GCCGGUGUAGCUCAGUUGGUAGAGCAGCUGAUUUGUAAUCAGCGGGUCGGGGGUUCAAAUCCUCUCGCCGGCUC